UACAGAGGGUGCAAGCGUUGUUCGGAAUUAUUGGGCGUAAAGCGCGUGUAGGCGGCUUGGCAAGUCGGGUGUGAAAGCCCUCAGCUUAACUGAGGGAAGUGCGCCCGAAACUGCUGAGCUUGAGUACCGGAGAGGAUGGCGGAAUUCCCGAAGUAGAGGUGAAAUUCGUAGAUAUCGGGAGGAACACCGGUGGCGAAGGCGGCCAUCUGGACGGAUACUGAGC
This 223-nucleotide ribosomal RNA is filed under the name uncultured bacterium. Its description in RNAcentral is "partial 16S ribosomal RNA". It matches the Rfam family "Bacterial small subunit ribosomal RNA", at positions 524 to 746 of the family's 1533-position model. The record is from RNAcentral.